Molecule: ribosomal RNA, 91 nt
Filed under: Aeromonas veronii
Lineage: Bacteria; Pseudomonadati; Pseudomonadota; Gammaproteobacteria; Aeromonadales; Aeromonadaceae
Also listed under: 1 other name
Description: partial 23S ribosomal RNA
Rfam family: Bacterial large subunit ribosomal RNA
Source: RNAcentral
CCGUUGGAGACCACAACGUUGAUAGGCGGGGUGUGUAAGUGCAGCGAUGCAUUGAGCUAACCCGUACUAAUUACCCGUGAGGCUUAACCAU